AACAUGUCUGUGUGAAGUUAAUUAUAAAGUCUAGCCUGCCCACNGAUUUAUUUAAAGGGCCGCGGUAAUUUGACCGUGCGAAGGUAGCAUAGUCAGUAGUCUUUUAAUUGGAGGCUUGAAUGAAUGGUUGGACGAGGGAUGAGCUGUCUCCUUUACGUAGCUUGAAUUUAACUUUUGAGUGAAAAGGCUCAGAUUAUUUAAUGGGNCGAUAAGNCCCUAUAAAACUUGAUAUAGGUUUAGCUUGGUUUGUGAUGUAAGUGAAAAGUUGCUUUGCUUGGCUUAUAUUUCGUUGGGGAGAUGAAGAUAUAAAGNGUAACUGUCUAUUAAAUUUAAUAGUGNUAAGUAGUGUGUGAUCCUUCAUUUGUGGAUUAAA
Molecule: ribosomal RNA, 373 nt
Filed under: Macrobrachium meridionale
Lineage: Eukaryota; Metazoa; Arthropoda; Malacostraca; Decapoda; Palaemonidae
Description: partial 16S rRNA
Rfam family: Archaeal large subunit ribosomal RNA (bases 1-192)
Source: RNAcentral